This is a long non-coding RNA of Carlito syrichta (Philippine tarsier), 376 nucleotides long. RefSeq lists it as uncharacterized. Lineage: Eukaryota; Metazoa; Chordata; Mammalia; Primates; Tarsiidae. The transcript is spliced from 3 exons. The record is from RefSeq and is a predicted model, not a curated record.
GGUGACAGAGUGACACCCUAACUCAAAAAAAAUGAAUAAAUAGAGAGAGACAGAGAGAAAUAGACACAGAGGGGAGAAUACUACAUGAAAAUAGAGGCAGAUUGGAGUGAUGGAUCUAUAAGCCAAGGAACAACCAAGAAUUGCCAGCAACCACCAGAAGCUAGAAGAGAUGAGUUCUUCUUUAGAGCUUCGGAGAGUGUAUGAUCCUGGUAACACCCUGAUUUUGAACUUUUAGCCUCCAGAACUGUGAGAGAAGUCCUACUUUUAGGAACCAUGUUAUACUUUGUCCAAGAAAAUUGCCAGGUCCUCUGUGCCAUUUUCCCAGGCUCUUACUAGGGUUGUUGGUGGAAGCUUUGUUGAAGAAGAAUUGGUUGAG